Molecule: ribosomal RNA, 567 nt
Filed under: uncultured bacterium
Lineage: Bacteria
Description: partial 16S ribosomal RNA
Rfam family: Bacterial small subunit ribosomal RNA
Source: RNAcentral
UGGGGAAUUUUGGACGAAUUGGGCGAAAGCCUGAUCCAGCAAUGCCGCGUGUGUGAAGAAGGCCUUCGGGUUGUAAACCUCUUUUAGCAGGGAAGAAGCGAAAGUGACGGUACCUGCAGAAAAAGCGCCGGCUAACUACGUGCCAGCAGCCGCGGUAAUACGUAGGGCGCAAGCGUUAUCCGGAAUUAUUGGGCGUAAAGAGCUCGUAGGCGGUUUGUCGCGUCUGCUGUGAAAUCCCGAGGCUCAACCUCGGGUCUGCAGUGGGUACGGGCAGACUAGAGUGCGGUAGGGGAGAUUGGAAUUCCUGGUGUAGCGGUGGAAUGCGCAGAUAUCAGGAGGAACACCGAUGGCGAAGGCAGAUCUCUGGGCCGUAACUGACGCUGAGGAGCGAAAGGGUGGGGAGCAAACNGGCUUAGAUACCCUGGUAGUCCACCCGUAACGUUGGGAACUAGUUGUGGGGUCCAUUCCACGGAUUCCGUGACGCAGCUAACGCAUUAAGUUCCCCGCCUGGGGAGUACGGCCGCAAGGCUAAACUCAAAUGAAUUGACGGGGUCAUAGCUGUUUCCU